RNAcentral lists this transfer RNA (77 nucleotides) under Pseudomonadota bacterium. RNAcentral's name for it is "tRNA-Arg". It matches the Rfam family "tRNA". Rfam says of the family: Transfer RNA (tRNA) molecules are approximately 80 nucleotides in length. RNAcentral also lists the same sequence under 1 other name. Lineage: Bacteria; Pseudomonadati; Pseudomonadota. The record is from RNAcentral.
GCACCCGUAGUUCAGUUGGAUAGAAUGCCAGACUACGAAUCUGGAGGUCGGAGGUUCGAAUCCUUCCGGGUGCGCCA